This 486-nucleotide ribosomal RNA is filed under the name uncultured bacterium. RNAcentral's name for it is "partial 16S ribosomal RNA". It matches the Rfam family "Bacterial small subunit ribosomal RNA", at positions 29 to 507 of the family's 1533-position model. The record is from RNAcentral.
AUUGAACGCUGGCGGCAUGCUUUACACAUGCAAGUCGAGCGGCAGCGCGGGGUCAACCCUGGCGGCGAGCGGCGAACGGGUGAGUAAUGCAUCGGAACGUAUCCUCGAGUGGGGGAUAACCCAGCGAAAGUUGGGCUAAUACCGCAUGAGCUCUGAGGAGGAAAGCGGGGGACCUGCGAGGGCCUCGCGCUGGAGGAGCGGCCGAUGUCCGAUUAGCUAGUUGGUGGGGUAAAGGCUUACCAAGGCGACGAUCGGUAGCUGGUCUGAGAGGAUGAUCAGCCAGACUGGGACUGAGACACGGCCCAGACUCCUACGGGAGGCAGCAGUGGGGAAUUUUGGACAAUGGGGGCAACCCUGAUCCAGCCAUGCCGCGUGAGUGAAGAAGGCCUUCGGGUUGUAAAGCUCUUUCGGACGGAACGAAAUGGGCGGGACUAAUACUCCUGUCUGAUGACGGUACCGUAAGAAGAAGCACCGGCUAACUACGUG